AACGAACGCUGGCGGCAGGCCUCUUACAUGCAAGUCGAGCGCACCUUCGGGUGAGCGGCGGACGGGUUAGUAACGCGUGGGAACGUGCCCUUCUCUACGGAAUAGCCUCUGGAAACGGAGAGUAAUACCGUAUACGCCCUUUGGGGGAAAGAUUUAUCGGAGAAGGAUCGGCCCGCGUUAGAUUAGGUAGUUGGUGGGGUAACGGCCUACCAAGCCUACGAUCUAUAGCUGGUUUUAGAGGAUGAUCAGCAACACUGGGACUGAGACACGGCCCAGACUCCUACGGGAGGCAGCAGUGGGGAAUCUUAGACAAUGGGGGCAACCCUGAUCUAGCCAUGCCGCGUGAGUGAUGAAGGCCUUAGGGUCGUAAAGCUCUUUCGCCUGUGAUGAUAAUGACAGUAGCAGGUAAAGAAACCCCGGCUAACUCCGUG
RNAcentral lists this ribosomal RNA (431 nucleotides) under uncultured bacterium. RNAcentral's name for it is "bacterial SSU rRNA". It matches the Rfam family "Bacterial small subunit ribosomal RNA", at positions 29 to 507 of the family's 1533-position model. The record is from RNAcentral.